Non-coding RNA from Pelobates cultripes (western spadefoot toad), 207 nucleotides. NCBI's taxonomy places the organism in Eukaryota, Metazoa, Chordata, Amphibia, Anura, Pelobatidae. The record is from the annotation of a GenBank genome assembly.
CUGCAGCCCUCCAUAGACUGAGCACUGAGCCCUGCAGCUCUCCAUAGACUGAGCCCUGCAGCUCUCCAUAGACUGAACCCUGCAGCUCUCCAUAGACUGAACCCUGCAGCUCUCCAUAGACUGAACCCUGCAGCUCUCCAUAGACUGAACCCUGAACCCUGCAGCCCUCUAUAGACUGAGCACUGAGCCCUGCAGCUCUCCAUAGAC